RNAcentral lists this long non-coding RNA (5739 nucleotides) under Malus domestica (apple). Its description in RNAcentral is "long non-coding RNA (MDOM_LNC016016)". The record is from RNAcentral. Lineage: Eukaryota; Viridiplantae; Streptophyta; Magnoliopsida; Rosales; Rosaceae.
UUAAGUCCUUACCUUUUUGCGUUGGUAAUGGAUGAGUUAACAGGACAUAUUCAAGAUGAUAUUCCUUGGUGUAUGCUUUUCGCAGACGAUAUAUAGUGUUGAUAGAUGAAACUCAGGAAGGGGUAAAUGCAAAGCUUAACCUUUGGAGAGAAGUGUUGGAAUCUAAAGGUCUUCGCCUAAGCCGAUCAAAGACAGAAUAUAUGGAGUGCAAGUUUAGUGCAGAUGGAGGCCAAAACGAGUUAGGGGUGAGGAUCGGAGAUCAAGAAAUACCAAAGAGCGACCGUUUUCGUUACCUAGGAUCUAUCUUGCAAAAGAACGGAGAAUUAGAUGGAGAUCUCAACCAUAGAAUACAAGCUGGAUGGAUGAAGUGGAAGAGUGCAUCUGGCGUGUUGUGUGACCGCCGUAUGCCACUGAAGCUCAAAGGAAAAUUCUAUAGGACGGCAAUAAGGCCGGCGAUGCUGUAUGGCACAGAAUGUUGGGCGGUGAAGCAUCAACACGUACACAAAAUGGGUGUAGCGGAGAUGAGGAUGCUUCGUUGGAUGUGUGGGCACACGAGAAAGGAUAAGAUUAGGAAUGAGGAUAUCCGGGGUAAAGUAGGAGUAGCCGAAAUUGAAGGAAAGAUGAGAGAAAAUCGGUUACGGUGGUUUGGACAUGUGCAAAGAAGGCCUACUGACGCUCCGAUUAGAAAGAUGCGACUAUGGGACAGAGGUUCAGGGCCGAAGGGGUAGAGGAAGACCUAGGAAAACUUUGGAAGAGACUCUAAGAAAAGACUUAGAGUACUUGGAUCUAACGAAGGACAUGACACAGGACCGAGCACAAAUGGCGUUCUAAGAUUCAUAUAGCCGAUCCCACUCAGUGACUUGGAUUUUCCAAGUCUCCAACCGAGAAGUUUUCCUCACUCGAAAAAAUUAAGGGAACACUACCCCAACCUACAUGCUCCACUCAGAAAGCUUCAACAUACAAGCUUCAACAAAAGAAAAUUCAAAGAACUUAGCGAAGAAGGCUUUGGUGUAUUUAACACAAUACGUUGAAAUGAAGGAAAACUUAUUUAUUGAUAUCCCCGAUAAGCUACAAAUAUGUACAUAUACAUGAGUCAAAAUAAACAAACAAGAUGGAGCCUUCACAAAGGUUGCUUAGGAGAAGUCUCAGCAGUCGGUAGAGCCCCAGAAAAGAGAAGGCAUCGGAGGGGGAUCAUUCGGAGCCUCAGUACUGGACAGAACCCUAGAAGGAGGAGGCAUCAGAGGUUGAUCAUUUGGAGCUUCAUUACGCGGUACAGCCCCAGAAGACGAAGGCAAUAAAUGCCUUUGGAACAAACCCACAAAUCUCUGAUGAUCAAGUAAAACCUGACCAUCAGUUUCCUUCAUCUGGUCAAGCUUCCUCUUCAUGUUUGUAGCAUAGUCAUGUGCGAGUCGGUGCAACUGUUUAUUCUCAUGCUUGAGCCCUCUAAUCUCCUGUUUGAGACUCAUCACUUCGGCCGCCAAUGACUCAACUUGGCGGGUUCGAGCAAAUAGGCGUUGGGCCAUAUUAGACACAGAAACUGCACACUGAACACUGAGAGCCAGUGAAUCCUUAACAGCUAACUCAUCAGACCGUUUGGAAAGUAGUCUGUUAUCUUUGGGAGUGAGAAGGUUCCUGGCCACCACCGCAGCGGUCAUAUCAUUCUUCAUCACGGAAUCCCCAACGGUAAGAGGACCAGUAAGGGAGACGAAGGAUGGGCGCCAUAUGUUGUCUGGAGAAGGCGGGGCUGCCUCUUCAACAAGGUUCAAGUCAAAACGACGGUCGGAGGGGCCAGACAUUUUCAAAGGUAUUGAAGAGAGAAGAGGUCGGACAAAUCAAGAUCUUAGAAGUGCAAGAAUGGAGCUUCUACUGGUGGAGAUUCAAGUGUGCUUUGGAACUUAAUGCCAGCCUCUAUAAAAAGCUGCACUCGACGGAGCUUCAGACAUCGAAGAGGCGCCUGCUCAGAAAUCGAAGAGGCGUUUGCUUUCUCAAAAGCUGGGCUGCUUAGAGACCACGAGGGUUGAUCUCAUAAAUCGAAGAGGUGUUUGCUUUCUCAAAAGUUGGGCUGCUCAAAGACCACGAAAGCCGAUCUCAGAAAUCGAAGAGGCGCUCGCUUCCUCAAAAGCUGGGCUCCUCAGAGACCACGAGGGCCGAUCUCAGAAAUCGAAGAGGCACCUACUUUUCCAGCCUUGUCAGCACCUGUCACACGUACACUCAGCUUUACGGAAAUUAUGGGUAUUCUGUCGAAGACUUCUGGGGAAGUAAAAAACACAUGAAUCUUACUGUCCAAUCACCCACUUCCCACACGCAGCAAUAGCUCAUGGGUACCACAGAUAACUUUGCCAAAGUUCUCUGCCAAAGUUGAGCACGUGAAGCUUGCAGCUCCCACUACAUCGCUCUGACCAAGAAGGGUAAAAGAAUAGCAAAGAAACAGCACUAACAAAGUUUAGACCCAUAAAUUUUGAAGGUCUAGCUACCAUAUUAUUACCCACAAGGGUAAAGGAACAGUACCACUGUUGGAUAAUUGGAAAGUCCCUGUGUGUCAACCUCUGUGCCUCGUGGCAAGGUAGACUAGCAAAACAUGCCCAACCUUUACUCACAUUCGAGAAAACACUCCCAAUAAGAUUGCUUGCUCCAAAAUCGAAGAGGCACCGUCCUCCGAAUCUCGAGAGCCAGACUCCCAACAUGACUACUUUCUCAAAAAUCGAAGAGAGGGUAAAGGAACAGUACCAUUGCUGGAUAAUUGGAAAGUCCUUGUGUGUCAACCUCUGUGCUUCGUGGCAAGGUAGACUAGCAAACAUGCCCAACCUUUACUCACAUUUGAGAAAACACUCCCAACAAGAUUGCUUGCUCCAAAAUCGAAGAGGCACCACCCUCGAAUCUCGAGAGCCAGACUCCCAACAUGAUUACUUUUUCAAAAAUCGAAGAGACACUGCUCCCCGAAUCUCGAGAGCCAGACCCCCAGCAUGAUUGCUUUCUCAAAAAUCGAAGAGGCAUCGUUCUCCGAAUCAAUCGAAGAGGCGCUCGCUUUCUCAAAAGCUGGGCUGCUCAGAGACCACGAGGGCCGAUCUCAGAAAUCAAAGAGGCACCUUCUUUUCUAGCCUUGUCAGCACCUGUCACACGCACACUCAGCUUUGCGGAAAUUAUGGGCAUUCUGUCGAAGACUUCUGGUGAAGUAGAAAGCACAUGAAUCUUACUGUUCAAUCACCCACUUCCCACACGCAACAAUAGCUCAUGGGUACCACAGAUAACUUUGUCAAAGUCUCUGCCAAAGUUGAGCACGUGAAGCUUGCAGCUCCCACUACAUCGCUCUGACCAAGAAAGGUAAAAGAAUAGCAAAGAAACAGCACUAACAAAGUUUAGACACAUAAAUUUUGAAGGUCUAGCUACCAUAUUAUUACCCACAAGGGUAAAGGAACAGUACCACUGCUGGAUAAUUGGAAAGUCCCUGUGUGUCAACCUCCGUGCUUCGUGGCAAGGUAGACUAGCAAACAUGCCCAACCUUUACUCACAUCCGAGAAAACACUCCCAACAAGAUUGCUUACUCCAAAAUCGAAGAGGCACCGCCUUCCGAAUCUCGAGAGACAGACUCCCAAACAUGAUUACUUUCUCAAAAAUCGAAGAGACACUGCUCCCCGAAUCUCGAGAGCCAGACCCCCACCAUGAUUGCUUUCUCAAAAAUCGAAGAAGCAUCGUUCUCCGAAUCUCGAGAGCCAGAUACCACAUACCACUUUUUCAAAGUGCUCUGACAGAGUUAAAACAUGUGAAGCUGGCAGCUCCCACUACCGUGCUAUGACCAAGCAGGGUAAAGGAAUAGCAUUACUACUUGUUGUUAGGGAGACUCCUAUAUAUGUCGACCUCCAUCCCCAACGGACAGGCAGACCUGCAAAAAUGCUCAACCCUUCCUCAUAUCUGAGAGGGCACUCCCAACGAAGCCUUUCGAAAUAUUCAGCUUUCUUUCCCCCCGAUAAUACCUCUGCAAACAAGCUAUACUAGAGCAAGAAUAUCUCAUAUCAUCAGGGUUAAAAGCAAGAGUAUCCCAUAUCAUGCUUUUUCCCUGUCUUUUCCUUUGGCCUUGUUUUUACCUGCAAGACAAGGAGAAAGAGAGCAAUCAGUCAGCACUUGAAAUCAAGCUCCCAGCCAGGAACUGACAGCCUGGAACCCCUUACCUGAUUACUUACCUGGCAUUGCUCUCGAGUACUCAUCUUCAACAUCUUAUGUUGCCAGGGAAGAUACCGUAUCUGCUUGAGGAACAGAUAGGGCAAGUGCGAAGGAUACAAGGAAGCAUGUGGAGACAAGCGUAACAGCACACGUGCCGAUCCAUCCAUUACUCUGUCAAAAGCAAAAGUAUCCCAUAUCAGCAGGGUCGAACGUACUCUAGAUUUGAUGGACUUGUUUUGACCCUCAAAUUCUUCAGUCGGCCUUAUACUCUGGAGGAAACCAGAAAACCCUCCAGCUCAGUUCAAGAAUAAGCCUGUGGAAAGUUACUUCUUCAAAAGCAAAAGUAUCCCAUAUCAUCUCUUCUCAUUUUUCUUCUCUUUAUCCUUCAUGCUGCUGCAAGAUGGGGAGAAGGUGAACAAUCAGCCGGAGCUCUGAUUGCUUACCUUGUCUGUCACCUCUUUCAGCAAAUCCCCUAGCUCGGCGACUUGGGGGACUCCUACUACAUGGUUUGUAUCGCGCUUGACCAAGCCUGAAACUACAAGUAAGCUUCAAGUGAAAUUGAUACAUUACCUUGUGCAUCUCCACCAGUUAAAGAUAUCACCCCUGGAUGGAGGAAGAGUACUUCCAGAGAAGCUGCCACAUCUACCUAUGAGACAGAUAAGGCAAGUCGAUACCACACUCCGAUACUUAGAAGUUUCGUGAUUACGAGAUCAUUCUCCCACAAUAUUUCCUAAUGUCAUUUGUACUCUAAUGUCAUUUGUACUAAAUCAUUCACUUGUACUCACUAAAGGAGAGCUUGAACCUAUGUACUUGUGUAAACCCUUCACAAUUAAUGAGAACUCUUCUAUUCCGUGGACGUAGCCAAUCUGGGUGAACCACGUACAUCUUGUGUUUGCUUUCCUAUCUCUAUCCAUUUAUAUACUUAUCCACACUAAUGACCGGAGCAAUUUAGCGAAGAUCACAAAAAGCGACCGUUUUCGCUACCUAGGAUCUAUCUUACAAAGAACGGAGAAUUAGAUGGAGAUCUCAACCAUAGAAUACGAGCUUGAUGGAUGAAGUGUAAGAGUGCAUCCAGCAUGUUGUGUGACCGUCGUAGGCCACUGAAGCUCAAGGGAAAAUUUUAUAAGACGGCAAUAAGGCCAGCGAUGUUGUAUGGCACAGAAUGUCAGGCGGUGAAACAUCAACACGUACACAAAAUGGGUGUAGCAGAGAUGAGGAUGCUUCGUGGGAUGUGUGGGCACACGAGAAAGGAUAAGAUUGAGAAUGAGGAUAUCCGAGGUAAAGUAGGAGUAGCCGAAAUUGAAGGAAAGAUGAGAGAAAAUCGGUUCCGGUGAUUUGGACAUGUGCAAAGAAGGCCGACUGACGCUCCGGUUCGAAGAUGUGACUACGGGACAGAGGUUCAGGGCCGAAGGGGUAGAGGAAGACCUAGGAAAACUUUGGAAGAGACUCUAAGAAAAGGCUUAGAGUACUUGGAUCUAACGGAGGACAUGACACAAAACCGAGCGCAAUGGCGUUCUAGGAUUCAUAUAGCCGACCCCACUUAGUGGGAAAAGGCUUUGUUGUUGUUGUUGUUGUUGUUGU